AGCUUUGCGCAGUGGCAGUAUCGUAGCCUAUGAGGUUUAUCUGAGGCGCGAUUAUUGCUAGUUGAAAACUUUACCCAAUACCCCGCCUUGAUGACUUGAAAUAUAGUCAGCAUUGGCAAUUUUUGACAGCCUACAAAUAGG
Molecule: small nuclear RNA, 141 nt
Organism: Kryptolebias marmoratus (mangrove rivulus)
Lineage: Eukaryota; Metazoa; Chordata; Actinopteri; Cyprinodontiformes; Rivulidae
Gene: U4
Rfam family: U4 spliceosomal RNA
About the family: U4 small nuclear RNA (U4 snRNA) is a component of the major U2-dependent spliceosome. The structure of U4 snRNA from yeast and human has been reported.
Source: Ensembl